Molecule: ribosomal RNA, 822 nt
Filed under: Microbacterium aurantiacum
Lineage: Bacteria; Bacillati; Actinomycetota; Actinomycetes; Micrococcales; Microbacteriaceae
Description: bacterial SSU rRNA
Rfam family: Bacterial small subunit ribosomal RNA
Source: RNAcentral
UGCAGUGGGUACGGGCAGACUAGAGUGCGGUAGGGGAGAUUGGAAUUCCUGGUGUAGCGGUGGAAUGCGCAGAUAUCAGGAGGAACACCGAUGGCGAAGGCAGAUCUCUGGGCCGUAACUGACGCUGAGGAGCGAAAGGGUGGGGAGCAAACAGGCUUAGAUACCCUGGUAGUCCACCCCGUAAACGUUGGGAACUAGUUGUGGGGUCCAUUCCACGGAUUCCGUGACGCAGCUAACGCAUUAAGUUCCCCGCCUGGGGAGUACGGCCGCAAGGCUAAAACUCAAAGGAAUUGACGGGGACCCGCACAAGCGGCGGAGCAUGCGGAUUAAUUCGAUGCAACGCGAAGAACCUUACCAAGGCUUGACAUACACGAGAACGCUGCAGAAAUGUAGAACUCUUUGGACACUCGUGAACAGGUGGUGCAUGGUUGUCGUCAGCUCGUGUCGUGAGAUGUUGGGUUAAGUCCCGCAACGAGCGCAACCCUCGUUCUAUGUUGCCAGCACGUAAUGGUGGGAACUCAUGGGAUACUGCCGGGGUCAACUCGGAGGAAGGUGGGGAUGACGUCAAAUCAUCAUGCCCCUUAUGUCUUGGGCUUCACGCAUGCUACAAUGGCCGGUACAAAGGGCUGCAAUACCGCGAGGUGGAGCGAAUCCCAAAAAGCCGGUCCCAGUUCGGAUUGAGGUCUGCAACUCGACCUCAUGAAGUCGGAGUCGCUAGUAAUCGCAGAUCAGCAACGCUGCGGUGAAUACGUUCCCGGGUCUUGUACACACCGCCCGUCAAGUCAUGAAAGUCGGUAACACCUGAAGCCGGUGGCCCAACCC